Molecule: long non-coding RNA, 3339 nt
Organism: Vombatus ursinus (common wombat)
Lineage: Eukaryota; Metazoa; Chordata; Mammalia; Diprotodontia; Vombatidae
Exons: 2
Source: RefSeq, a predicted model, not a curated record
UCUGAAGCAUCAAUGUAAGAGGGCAACUGCCACCAAAGGACAGAGAGGUGUGCCCCGCUAAGUUCAAUGGCUUCGUGGAUCGUUGGACUAAGACAGAGGGAGUCAUUGGCACAGACUCCACCUUUGGAUUUGACGGUGCACCAAUACCGACCUGGAAAUCGGGGAUUGAUCAAGUCCUGGAAGGAAGCCAUGUUACAUGAUUGGGAAGGACCAUGCCAGGUGUUAUUGACCACUGAGACUGCAAUCGGAUGGUGGAGAAAGGCUGGACUCAUACAAGAGUUAAAGGACCUACAGAGGAACCCUAGGAAUGGACGGUGGACAGCCAUCCUGAUCCACCAAGGAUGGAGUCUUGAUUAUUUUUGUCCUAUCACUUUUACUUUGCUGUGCUAAUUUUUUAUUGUUUGUUUCUAGUAUCUAACUUCCAUAGAACAGAACCACAGACAGAAGAGACUCCUCUAAUCAAAAAGUGUUAGUAAGAGCAUGGUAGGGAGUGAGGGCUUGGAACUGGCUUUAGUAUUAGUAGUCAGCAUUGUCUUAACUAUCUUAUGGGCUCUGGAAUAUAAUUGCCUUUUCCCCCAACAACAGUUGGAACCAUUUUCAUUGUAAAUUCAUAGGGAAUUAUUAAUGGGAUUUGACCCUAGAUUGGAAGGCAAUCCCAGGUGGACCUCGUGGAAGAGAUUCCUAGAACUUUUCUCUCUGCUUCCAGACAACUGGACAAUUGGCCCAGAACUCUGUAGCCAGGAGGUUUGGGAAGAACUUAGCUAUAAAUAACAAAGUAUUCUUUAAUUUGGACCCCCUUGAAAGACCUAGUGGGGAAUUAGUGAGUAUCCAAGCUGUCUAAGUAGUAGACAUAAGAAUAGGUAGAGAGUGUUACUGGAUGAUAAGGUAAAGACUAGGGUUUGAAGAAACCACCUUCCUCAUCUUGCCAGUGAAUAGUGUGGAUAUCAGGCUUACCUACUGUCCCAAGAUGAAAUUGGUUUGAGUUACCUGGAUUCUCCUAUUGAGUUGUACCAUGAAUGGGAUCUGUAUCUCAGUCCCACCCCUAACUCCACCUUCAAUAGGGAACCAAAAUCUCUUCUUACAUGUUGGGGAAGCUAUGGCUGGUGCAUUUAACCUGACUAAUUGUUGGGGGGGGGGGGGGGUGGCAAAUAGAGGAUAAGUGGCCAUGGGUGGCUUUCCCUCUGGCCCCGAAAUGGCUUCUGAGUGAUAAGACUGAAUUCAGGGUUAACGCUACUCCCAAAUGGCCUGAAGAAGAACAUACAUGGCCCCUCACCUUCAGCACUGUGGGCAAAUAUUGUCUUAAUUAAACUGGCCUCAGCCCCAAAGUAGGCCGAGGAGCAUUUGUAAUUGGACUUAUAGCUUGGAGUGGGAAUGUACAUACUGGAUGUAAGGAGAUUAAUUGUGCUCGGUAUAGGAGAAAAUGGAACUCAACUCACAUUCGAUUGCCAAAUGGAAGCUGGGUGUAUUGUGAUCUAUCCACUGAGGGCAGACUAGAAGAUUGCUGGGAAAAACAUAGCUGGCAAAACUGUAAUCUAGCCCCUGAAAGUAAGAUUGAGGACUGUUGGAAAUUUUGUAAUUUUAUCAGCCUAUGAAAGAGUAGACAAAUAUAUAUAUGAGCUUGUCAAUUGGUGUGCACGACUCAACAUCAGCCAAGAGAAGUUUCUAUCCCGGGUUCAGAGAUAGGGUUGGAAUCAUGCCAAAGGAACUAGACUAGAAGGAUUUAGGGAUUUCUGAAGCGAUAAGGAACAGCCCUGUCCCCCUUCUGGCUCUUGGCAAUGUGAACGUAAAUGGAGAAAAGAGGAGGGGGCAUGAAAAUGCUCCUGGAAAAAAGGAGGGUUGACAUCUCCAGGACCUACUGGCUGGGAUGUAAGUCAUUACUUCCCCCAUGUGUGGGACACUCAGAUUAUCUUCCCCAAGAAGCAAGCAGCAUUGAAGGGUCAUCACUGGAUAUGUGGUCUGAUGGCUUAUAUUCACUUACCUGUAGGUUGGUCAGGAAUUUGCUGUGUAGGAAUAACAACACCUAAAUUCUUCUUUUUAGGACAAGAGGCAAGAACAACAUUGGAGAUCCCUCUUUAUGAUAAUCUGAGAAGAAUGAAAAGGGCCAUAGACACUAAACAAACACAGGUGAUGCUAAUGGAUGGGGAAAUUUAUGCUGCCCCACCCCCAGAGGAUCAUUUAGCCUGAUUACCUGGGCUCAAGAUGGGAGUUGAGAAUAUAGGACCCCUAUCUAUAUCUUAAAUAGGCUGAUAAAACUACAAGUGGUAGUAGAGAUCCUAACUAAGCAAACAGCACAAGCCUUGGAGCUUCUAGCUGACCAAGCCACACAAACACAGGAAGCAGUGCUCCAACACAGAAUGGUAUUGGAUUACUUGGUAGCAGAAGAGGGAGGUGUCUGUGGGAAACUAAAUGUAUCAAAUUGAUGACAAUGGUCAAGUUGUCAAAGAGUAUAGCCCAAAAUAUUAGGAAAGUAGCUCAUGAGCUACUUUUACCAGUAUAACAAUGGGAUAGUAUAUUAAGCUCAAAUUGGUUUAGUUGGCUAAGUGGAUCACGUCUACAUGGAAGCAACUCAGAUUCUUUCUAAUAUGUGCAGUUGCUGGUCUCACCCUCCUACCCUGUUUGAUUCCCUGUUUCAUCAAUUUAAUUACCAGGAUGGUGGAAAAGAUGCAAAUAGUUAACUCAGGAGGGAGAGGAGCCCAAAUGUUGGUCUUAAGAAGGAAGCCAACCACCCAGGAGGAUGUAGAGGAGAAAGAAUGUCUGGAGCUACUAAGGGACUUUGAAGAUAGACUUUGAGGGAGGUAGGAAUUUCGUGGAAACGUAAUCCCUAGAAAUAAGAAAGAGGGGGAAUUGUGAAGUACAGGAAAUUAUGUUUCCACAGAGGUAGAGGAAGUGAUCUUAACGACAGAAUUCAGAAGUGUCUACCGGUGUAAAAAGAACGGUUUUAUUCAGAAUAUUUUUUAGCAAUAAUACCUAGAAUCAGAAGGAACCAGCCGAAACUAGUAGUGUGGUUGAAGAUGUAGAAAGUAGGACAAAGUCACAAUCUGCUCGAAACUGUGCAUGCUUAAUUGGGAUAUUAAUAUUAACUUCUCCUCCCUUAAGGAGGAGCCAUCUGCCAUUUUGUACAUGCAAUGUAUGUAGUGGGGGUAGACAUAUUAAGGGUCAAUAUGAAGUAGGCAUUCUGGGAAGUCGUAUGCCUCAAAGUAUCCAACCAAUGAAGAAAUGAGAACAUUGCAUUUCUGGACAACAAUAUAACUGCUCACUUUUGCUUCUGUGUGUGUGUCUGCCUCUAGCAGCACACCUGCUUCUUUCAAGAACAUAUAAUAAAUAAACUUUCCUCAUCUA